This 435-nucleotide ribosomal RNA is filed under the name uncultured bacterium. RNAcentral's name for it is "partial 16S ribosomal RNA". It matches the Rfam family "Bacterial small subunit ribosomal RNA", at positions 28 to 507 of the family's 1533-position model. The record is from RNAcentral.
GAUGAACGCUGGCGGUAUGCUUAACACAUGCAAGUCGAACGGACUCUUCGGAGUUAGUGGCGGACGGGUGAGUAACGCGUGAGAAUCUGGCUUUGGGUUCGGGACAACCACUGGAAACGGUGGCUAAUACCGGAUGUGCCGAGAGGUAAAAGAGAAAUUGCCUGAAGAUGAGCUCGCGUCUGAUUAGCUAGUUGGUGAGGUAAAGGCUCACCAAGGCAGCGAUCAGUAGCUGGUCUGAGAGGAUGACCAGCCACACUGGGACUGAGACACGGCCCAGACUACUACGGGAGGCAGCAGUGGGGAAUUUUCCGCAAUGGGCGAAAGCCUGACGGAGCAGUACCGCGUGAGGGAAGAAGUCUCUUGGGUUGUAAACCUCUUUUCUUAGGGAAGAACAAAAUGACGGUACCUAAGGAAUCAGCAUCGGCUAACUCCGUG